This 484-nucleotide ribosomal RNA is filed under the name uncultured bacterium. Its description in RNAcentral is "partial 16S ribosomal RNA". It matches the Rfam family "Bacterial small subunit ribosomal RNA", at positions 30 to 507 of the family's 1533-position model. The record is from RNAcentral.
AUUGAACGCUGGCGGCAGGCCUAACACAUGCGAGUCGAGCGGAUGAAGGGAGCUUGCUCCUGGAUUCAGCGGCGGACGGGUGAGUAAUGCCUAGGAAUCUGCCUGGUAGUGGGGGAUAACGUCCGGAAACGGGCGCUAAUACCGCAUACGUCCUGAGGGAGAAAGUGGGGGAUCUUCGGACCUCACGCUAUCAGAUGAGCCUAGGUCGGAUUAGCUAGUUGGUGGGGUAAAGGCCUACCAAGGCGACGAUCCGUAACUGGUCUGAGAGGAUGAUCAGUCACACUGGAACUGAGACACGGUCCAGACUCCUACGGGAGGCAGCAGUGGGGAAUAUUGGACAAUGGGCGAAAGCAUGAUCCAGCCAUGCCGCGUGUGUGAAGAAGGUCUUCGGAUUGUAAAGCACUUUAAGUUGGGAGGAAGGGCAGUAAGUUAAUACCUUGCUGUUUUGACGUUACCAACAGAAUAAGCACCGGCUAACUUCGUG